RNAcentral lists this unclassified non-coding RNA (427 nucleotides) under Athalia rosae (coleseed sawfly). Its description in RNAcentral is "misc RNA ENSAEAG00005011365.1". Lineage: Eukaryota; Metazoa; Arthropoda; Insecta; Hymenoptera; Athaliidae. The record is from RNAcentral.
CGAUAAUAUUUAUAUUUGUUACAGCAUUAACGUUUUUUUUUUUUUGUUGAUGAAUUAUUAUAAACUAUACACUUCGUACCUGAGUGAAAAAUCCCAUGAUGAUUUAGACACUUGAAACUUGACAAAAUCAGGCUAUACUGCAAAGUCAGAAAAGAAUUGAUUACGAGGAUUUGUAGUAGCAGAACUACAUUUAUCUGAACUACAUACAACAGUAAAAUUCACUGAUAUGAAGUUUUGAAAAAAAGAAUUUCAAAGAUAAUUAUGUCCAGAUACGCGAUGCUAUAAAAUUAUAAGUAAGGCGAUUCCUAACAACUUUAAGACGGUGCGACGAAACGCCACAAUUGAGAAUCAUCAGGAGCCCGACGCAUGCCAGCCGUCCGGAAGUCAAGCCCGGAACACGGAGCACCCAUCCGUAACCGAUGCGCUG